GAUUUAUAAAUUGUUAUAAAAUUAGUGAUCCAAAUCCAAUAACUAAAUGCAUGAAGAUUUCUAACAAAAAUAUAUUAUAUUUAUAUAGGUAAACUACUUUUUUUUAAGGACAAUGCACAUAUGCUCUAUUAAAUGUAAAAAGUUAAACCUAUCAAUCAUGUAAAAGAUAUUUCUACUCUAAAGGUUAGAUGUCGGCAAGUUUUGUGGUGCAUCACAUAUGUAACAACUAAUCAUAGCUGUGGCCAGUCUCACAGAUGCAAGAGGGAACACAUAUAUGUUUGUAUGAAUCUCAUGUCACAUGCUCAAAAAGAGGGGGCAGGGAUUUUGGCCUAUGCUUGAAAUAAAUUUCUGAUAUAUAAAAAAAGUAUUUCAAAUUUUAUUUCGGUUUGCAUUCUUCCGUGCUUUUCCUUCUUCAUCCACUCAAGUGGAAAUGAUUUAGGGUCAAUUUAUUCGUAUGAAAUCAUCCAUAUAGAUUCUUUUUCUUUAUUUUAUUUAAAUAAUUG
RNAcentral lists this long non-coding RNA (503 nucleotides) under Medicago truncatula (barrel medic). RNAcentral's name for it is "lncRNA gene20669". The record is from RNAcentral. Lineage: Eukaryota; Viridiplantae; Streptophyta; Magnoliopsida; Fabales; Fabaceae.